GUGGUCGAGGGAGGACGCGGGCUGUUAUCUAUCUCCUUCCCGUAUUUCAACACAUAUAAACCCCAGUACAUUACUCUAUAUUAAGUGUUAAACUAAACCAGUGUAUAGAACCGAAAAUAAACCAGAUUAUAAGUGAAAUACAUAAUCUACCGAGAAAAACAUUGAUCCGUUCUGAAUGUAAUACAAUCAACUAACUCAACUAUUGGCUUUUUCAAUUCAUCUUUAAAGGCUGAUAUAACCUGCCAGAGACUACCCCAGGCUGAUAUAACCUGCCACAGACUACCCCAGGCUGAUAUAACCUGCCAGAGACUACCCAGGCUGAUAUGACACACUAACAACUUGUGCAGAAUAAGAUACUGUGAUGUCACAUCUCAAGACCAAGUGUAAC
Homarus americanus (American lobster) is the source of this 388-nucleotide long non-coding RNA. RefSeq lists it as uncharacterized. The transcript is spliced from 3 exons. The record is from RefSeq and is a predicted model, not a curated record. Lineage: Eukaryota; Metazoa; Arthropoda; Malacostraca; Decapoda; Nephropidae.